Molecule: RNA transcript, 13265 nt
Organism: Stegostoma tigrinum
Lineage: Eukaryota; Metazoa; Chordata; Chondrichthyes; Orectolobiformes; Stegostomatidae
Gene: itga3b
Gene name: integrin, alpha 3b
Exons: 26
Source: RefSeq, a predicted model, not a curated record
GCAGGCGUGUACAGUGCUAGAGGGUGUGGAGAGAGACUGGGUACUUGCAGUAUCACCGUGUAACUCAGACCGCCUUUGAAAUCGACAUGGCGCCUUAUACAGCUCCUCAGUUUCAGCCCGGGCUAUACCUUCUCCUAUCAACCGCGGUGGCGGUCUCUUCUGCUUUUAACAUCGAUGUGAAGUUCCCGAUCAUUAAACAGGGACCACCCGGCAGCUACUUCGGAUAUUCGGUGGCGUUACACCGACAACUGAAAGAUCAGGAUCGCUACCUAUUGCUAGUUGGAGCUCCGCAGGCAGAGGGUCUGCCAGGUCAACUGGCAAAUCGCACAGGAGCCUUGUUCUAUUGUACUGUAUCACCAACUCCCAACAACUGUAAACGUGCCAAGUUUGAGAAACCAACUGACCCACAAACUGAAAGUAAGGAGGACCAGUGGCUUGGAGUCACCGUGGCAAGUCAAGGGCCUGGUGGGAAGGUGGUGGUUUGUGCACAUCGUUAUGAGAAGAGACAACUGACGCAACAAGAUGAGAAGAGAAUUUUAGUGGGUCGUUGUUUUAUUUUGAGUGACAACAUCGCCAUCAAUCCAGAUGAUGACUGGGACACUUCGCCAGCGCAAUUCUGUGAAAAUGUCGGGGAUGAUCACCAGGGACUGCUUAUGUGCCAGCAGGGCAUGGCUGCAGGAUUCACGCACCCCAACCAUUAUGCAUAUUAUGGAGCACCAGGUGGCUGGAACUGGCAAGGAACUGUCCAAGUCUCUCAAAAGAAUAUCACAUUUCUCGAUCUCAAUAUACUGUCUGAUGGUCCUUACAUACUGAAAGAAGCAGGAAAGGCUCACAGCUACAUAGGAUACUCACUUACUGCUGGGCAGAGAGUCACACAUCCCAAGCAGUUCAGCUAUGUGGCAGGAGGCCCGCGCCAUAAUCACACAGGAGCAGUGUUCGUUCUCAGACAGAGCACAGACGAUGAAUUAGCUAUCGAGCACACUAUAAUGGGAAGUCAAACAGGGUCUUACUUUGGGAGUUCAGUGGCUAUUGCUGAUCUUGAUAAUGAUAGUUGGCAAGACAUAAUUGUCGGAGCUCCUCACUACUUCGAUCAGAAGAAGGAGAUCAGUGGGACUGUGCAUAUUUACAUGAAUGAGGCAGGACAGUUCUCAGAGGAACCCAACCUGGUAUUAAAUGGCUCAAAGGAUUCCAUGUUCGGUUAUGCCAUCAGCACUAUUGGAGACAUUAAUCAAGACGGUUUUCAAGAUAUUGCCAUUGGAGCUCCAUAUGAUGGUUUUGGCAAAGUUUUCAUAUACCACGGUAGCAAGGAUGGACUGAAUCCUCAACCUAGUCAGGUCAUCAGUGGAGCAGAUCUUGAGAAGACUGACCCGAUCAAUACAUUUGGCUAUUCAAUCAGUGGAGGACUUGAUGUUGAUAGGAAUGAUUAUCCCGAUGUUCUAAUUGGAACAUUAUCUGACAGAGUCAUUUUACUGAGAUCUCGGCCAGUUAUUAAUAUUAGUAAAAAUUUCACUGUACAUCCAAGCAUCAUUGAUCCCAGCACCUGCACUAUUAAGUCCUGUGUCACAGUGACAGUUUGCUUCUCAUACAUCGUGAGCACAGGAAAUAGAAAGUACAAUCGCAGUAUUGGUCUUAAAUAUACAUUGGAGGUCGAAAAAGAAAGGCGUUCUUCUCCACGUAUUAAAUUUGUUAAGACAAACAGUGCCAUUUAUCAUGGCAUUUUAACCAUGCCACAAACCAAAUGCCAGAGUGUCCAGCUAGGGUUGAUGGACAACGUGGAAGAUAAGCUUCAACCUAUUUCGGUCACUUUAAAUUAUUCUAUCGACAAUAACAGUGAAGCUAGAGGAAGAAAGGCUGAAAUGAAUAAUUAUCCCAUUUUGAAUAUAUUGCAAGACCAUACUGGCCUGGAAGAGAUACAUAUUCAGAAGGAAUGUGGCAAUGACCGCAUAUGCAACAGCAACCUCCAACUGAAACAUGCAUUUGGCAGAUUGGGGAACAAUGAGGUUUUCCAUCCCAUAAGAAGAAAAAGGGGCAAGCAAAUCUUGGACUUUGAUCCACAAUCCAACCCAUAUUCCAAAAAGCUUGUGUUGCAAGUGAAUGUUACAAAUUUCCCAACAAAUGCCACUAAUGGCGAAGAUGCUCACCAGGCCAGGCUCAACAUUACCCUACCUGAUACGUUGACAUAUGUUGGUAUUCGUGCAGAAUCAGUCAGGUGUGAUCCUGCAGAUCGUUACACCGUGAUUUGUGAAUUGGGAAAUCCUUUCAAGAAGAAUCAGAUGGCUACGCUCAACAUAAUUCUGGAAGUAACUGGAAUUACUCUUAACACAAGAGAGAUUGAUGUGGAACUCCAACUUCAAACAGAAAGUACACAAAGUGACUUGAACCCAGUUUUAGCGUCAAUAUCUGUGGAAAUUCAGCUACAAGUUAGCCUUUCUGUGGAAAAGAAAAUACAGCAAACCUACUUCAGUGGUACAGUCAUCGGUGAGAGUGCAAUCAAGACGUUUGAAGCUAUAGGCAGUCCUGCAGACUUCACUUUUCAGGUGACAAACCAUGGAGAGCCUUUGGGUGACUUAGGAACUCUGUACCUCAGUUUUUUGUGGCCAUAUGAAAUCAGUAAUGGGAAGUGGUUGCUGUAUCUCACUGAAAUUGAAAUGAAUGGGACAGAAAACCAGUACUGCAUACCAGCAGGGAACAUUGUAAAUGAGCUGAAUUUAACGAGGAAUAACCAUACAACACACCCUCAAAGAAGAAAACGUGAAUUGAAACCUGCAGCUGCCAAGAAUUUAAAAAUACCUGGCGCACUGAAAAAGGGAAAAGGCAACUUGCAAUUAGACUGUAACCAGAAACACACAGCCCGAUGCAAGCAGUUCAAUUGUUUGCUACGCAACAUGACUCAAAAGGCCACAGUAACAUUGCGAGCACGUCUAUGGAACAGCACCUUCCUGGAGGAAUACAGGGACUACGAUCGGAUUGUUGUCGUGGUGGAGGCAUCCUUGCAUUUGAUGACAAACAUCACCACUAUCAAAAUGAAACAACCAGAUGUGACAACAUUGCUCUACGUUGAAUCCCAAGUUGAUGAUGAACCACCUUAUGAGAUACCAGCAUGGAUUAUUGCUGUAGCAGUGCUGGCAGGCGUCAUGUUAUUGAGUCUGAUAAUCCUUUUACUCUGGAAGUGUGGCUUCUUCAAGAGAACACGAUACUACAGGAGCAUGCCAAAGUAUCAUGCUGUGAAGAUCCGCAAAGAAGAACGCUAUUUUAUCACAGAAGGUUUUACAAAAAAGAAAACACAGAAGAAGCAGUGGGUAACAAACUGGAAAGAUAAAAACAGUUACUAAUAUUUGCUUCUCCGUGAAUUUAAAGGGGCCACAUUGAUGAGACCACAUAUUUUUACGAUUAAGAUUACAAAGAACUGGACCAGUGUAUCAACAUUUCUGUUCACAUUACUUUAGUUCUAUUUAUGAUAACUUGUGUUUCAGUCAAAUGCAAGAAUUUUUUAUGAGACAAAGUUUAUAAAGCACAGUUGGAACAGCUCUUGAUGCCAUUUGAAGUUGAUCUUUGAGCUAAGCAUAGUGCAGGAACUUAGUUUUCCUUAUGGAUGAGACUGUUAAGAAUUCAAUGCACUGAAAUAUUGGGGAGGAAAGGGGAUUAAAGUGCUUAAUGUUAAAUAUAUUGUUCAGUGAUAUUUUAUUCUUAAAGGGUUAAAAUUUAAUUUAUUGUGUUAUAAAGGGAAGAAAGGUCCAUUUGAAAUGUAAUUGGGAGGCACUCUAAUUGAAAAUCAGUUGAGGGUGUUCAAAAGAGUUGCUGCCAAUCGUAGUUGUAUAUGCGAAUAUGAUCCAAAUCGUAAGACAAAUAAGGCCAAUACCUAUUGGAUAACUGGGAUUAUGUUUGUGCUGUUGCAUAUCCUUUUUCCUGACCCAAUCUGUAUUUGCAAUAUAACUGUUUACACGAAUACAUCUUAAGCAUAAUGGUCAAGUGUAUGAUCUUUCUCUCUGUGCCCUGUCUACUGACUAGCCAUUGCAGAUUACAGUUUCUAAAAGUGUUUUAUUCUGUGAUACCAAUAUUCAAUUAUUAAAGGAAAAUGAGAAAUAGAAAGCAUUUUUUAAAAUCAAUCUAUAAAUUAAAUAUCAAGUUUUAGAUAUCCCUUUGAUAUCUAAUGAAAAAUGGUACUGUUUUCUUUAAAAUACAGUUUAUAUAUUAGCCGUAAGGGUGCCAAAUACAUUUAUUUUUCCCAUUGUUGUCUAGAUAGCAUUGGGAAACAUUCAAAGUUUUCUUCUGUUGUUUAGUUAUUGAGUUGGAAGAGAUUGGAGAUCUGUUAUUUGUCAGCCUGAUUGCAACUUUGCUAGGCAAACAAGAAAGAUGAAGGAAAGUGUAAACCAGACAUCCACUCAAUUUAGUUCCUUUUAUGAGUAGAAUUACCUUUCAAAGAGCCUGAUUAUUUAAAAAUAGCCUUAUACUAAAGCUAAGAAUUUUGGCAUGUAGUGAUUAAACAAAAGCCUUUCCUUUUUAUUGGAUGACACAAUAGUAGUCCUGACUUCUAGUAAUUAUCAGCUAGAAAUAAAGCAUCCCAUACGCGUACUGUAUGUACAUUUUUGUUCAUAUUAGCUGGCAUUGAUGAAUAUAAUCUUGUAUGUAUGUGUGUUUGUAUAAAUAUAUACAUGCACACAAAUGAUGGAGACAGAAUAUGUGAUAGGAGAAAGUGUGUAGUCUACAUUGUUUAUUCAACAUAUAUAGCAUAGACUUGCAAAAAAGUGGAAAAACUGGCCUUAAUAUUUUCAAAGAAGUGCCAAUCCAUUUAAUUCAAACAUGAUAGCAUUUCUUUUACAGUGCAGAAUGAAACUGAUUUUCUUGUCAACAGUUAUUACAAUUUGAAACUCUGCAUACAGAACAAACAUUUGCUGACUUGAGGUUGUAAAAUCCCUAGUAAGUGGAAACAAUUUGGUUCCCCUUCACAAAUAGCUUUCUUUUCUUAAGUUUAGUUGUAUAUUUUGUGAUGUUAUUGGUAAUUGUAACCAAAGCAAAAUGUAGCUUCUUUUGCAUCUGCUGUCUGAUACAAUUUUAUAACAAAAAAAAUGCUAUUUUAAGAUGAAAACAUAGAACACUGGUUGAGCCUCAGCUGAGAUUUUGUUGCCGAAGCAAGGAUAAAGACUGGAGGAAGGAUGUCAAGGCCUUGGAAAUGGGACUGAGGUGAUUUACUAGAAAUGAACGACAUCAGUUUCUUGAGUCACCAGGGAACCUAGGAUAUUUCUCCUUAAAGCUCAGAAGGUUAAGAGCAGAUUUGAUGAAGGGUUUUGAUGGAGUAGAUGAGGAAAGAAUUCACAUGUAAAUGAGCCAAAAGGAACCAGUUAAAAGUAAUGGACAAAAGAAUGACAUGAACAGAAAGAAAAUACUGUGUUUUGUCGUGAUCUAAAAUGCACUAGCUGGAAGAGUAGAAGCAGGUUCAAUAGCACUUUUCAAAAGAAAGUGGAUAAAUGCUUCAAUCGAAAAAGUUUGAGGUGAGGAGCUAUGGGGUUUGAGCAAGAGAAUAAGAUUAAUUGGCUAUCUUUUUCAAAAAGCCAGAAUGAGCUAAAUGCUCUCCUUCCAUGUUGAAUGAUUUUAUGACCAAGAAAACAUUGUAAAUGCAGAGUAAAAAUCAUUUCAUUUUGAGAGUUUCUAGUCUUUUUAUAUUUUUCUGGAUGGAAAAUGUUUACAGGUUUAAAUUGCUUUCAUUUUAGUAUCAGUCUGAAGAGUUGCGCAAAACAACUUUGUAUUGUAGGGAUUAUGUGAUCGUUAUAUUAGUGGAGUACAUUGUUCUUUGGAAUUCUGGUUAAGAUGUAUGUGCUGAGAGAUGGUAAAGAUUGAAACCAUAAAGUGUGAUUCAGAACACUUAAGUGUGUUUCAUCGUUUUUGUAUUUUUAAGGUCUGUUAAAGCAUCCAACAAUGAUUUUCAGAGAAAAUUGAAAGAAAAACUCUUUCAAUUUUAUCUGGAAAAAUAAUUAAUCUUGUUGAGAUCUGGCUGUUUCACUUAUUGUUGAGGAGCCAGGAAGGGAUCCAUGCUCCCGCUUUUCAGGAGACUCCCUGAACAACAAGCCAAUAAGACAAUGACAAGAUCUCUGGUGGCUUUCCCCUCCAAUCAAGUCCCUUGAGGGUAGACGUCUUAUCUAUUGCAUGACUGGCAAGGUAGUGGCUGCUACAAAAAAAAGACCAAUCAAGUUCUUCAAGAUCACAGGUAGCCAGAUCACAUAAAUACUUCAGGGAUUUGCAGGUGAGGCCCGUGGGAGGGAAAAGGUGUGGAAUUUCAGCAGCAAGGGCAGGCUGUGCCUCCCUGAGCCCCUCUACCUGAUUUCCAGUCUUUCGAUUAUAUGCUUAAUAUCUUUAGAACCAGAGCUCUCUCUCCUGCCAGUUGAUGAAGCAAGCCGACAACAGUUCCAGCUGCCACUGGAUUUGUACCAGCAAUUUCGAACAUAGCUAUUAAUUGACCAUUUAAGAAUCUCAAGUUGUAGCAGGACAGAAAGGUCAACUGUGGGCUUCCCCACCCAGAACUCAAAUCUGGAAGAAGUAGUAAAGGAGUUGGGCUGCGGUACACCAUUAACUUGCUUAAUUACAUACUCUGAUGUACAGUCCAAAGUCUCCUUCAUAUUAAACUGCUCCAGGGACUGCCAGCCUGAUUUGUAAUUUUUUUUGUUGAAGGAGGCAGAUUUUGUUUUCCAUGAAGUGCUUGUAUGAGAGCAAUGAACCGUGUGGAGAACUCUGAUAUAUCUAUUCCCAAAGUGAUCAACAGAACUCAACUCCACCAGGAAUCUCCCCUGGAUCUUCCAUUUCAUUGUUUUCUGUUCCAUUUUUUUCUCGUGGGUAAGGGCCAAAGGAGAUCUAGUGGCUGAUCACCCCUGGAGGUUGGCACUUUGCACCCUCUGUUGAGCUUGAUGGAAUUCAAGUAUCAAGUCUUUAAGGGGAAGGUGAUUGAUCCCCCAAAGGGAUCACCCCAAGAACUUGAUGGCUCUGUACAGAAGUGCAUGCAUUCCUUCAGACCCCACUUUGUUUCCCCUCCUCCGGGGUGGAAUGAACCUGUGUAAAUCUGUGUCUCGCGUGUUGUUGCAAUAUAUAGAAAUCUGGACCUCCUUUCUCUAAGAGGCUGAGAAUGUUAUGUCAUUUGAAAUUACCAAGAAUAAGACUGGUAGAUUUUAGUUAGGUUAGAGAUUUUGUUAAUGCCUCUAACUUGAGGAAAAGACAAGUAAAUAGAAUAGCGACACAGUUUGGCUAUGCUUUAUACAUUGGCAGAAAAGUCUCAAGUCUGCAUGGCUUACUAACGUUCCAACAUUUAGUGUUAGAACCAGUUCCAAGCCUUUGUUUAUUAUAACAUACUUGGGGAUAUAUUCAUAUGUAUUUAAGUUUGUUUAAAAUGAUCUAUGCAAUACUUGAGAAAUGAAUCAGGCUCAAUUUAGAAUAAUGCUAAAAAAGUGACAAAAGUUAACUAAAAUUUGAAUAGCAAUUUUUCCACAAUAAUACAUACAUUUGCAAAUCUCUCAUCUUUACUCAUUUGGAGAAAUGAAAUUGGGUUCAGCAUUUUUCGAUUGUUCACACAUAGCUACACUCAAUAAUUGGAGGUGUGGUUGAGAGUAUGUAAUCUCUAAAAGUAUUGAUGUGACAAUUCUUAAAACCAAAGAACAAGGAAGAGUAUGUGGUCUAUAAUUAAAUGACAACAAUACACUUGUUCUUCAGAUUGGUUAUUAUAGUAGACUUCUCACAGUGUUAGCAUGCUUGUGGUUAAAUCAAGAGUUUAAGCAUUUAACCUCGCUGAUGUUUCAAACCUGUGUGGUAUUGUUUUUAAGAAGCGCACUUUCCAUGGGACACUAAUCCAAGGGCCCAUCUGCUCUAUCAGGUGAAUCUAAAAUUUCUGAUAGCACUAUUCAAAGAGGACCAGUAGAUUUCCACGUCCUGGCUAACAAUCAGCUUAAUCAACAUCACUGAAGUAGAUGAUCUGGUCAAGAAUUUCAUUGCUGUUUAUUAUGAGACUUUACUUUGAGCAAAGUUGUUAUGCACACAAAUUCUGCACAUUCUGUACUAAUGAAUACACUUCAAAACUACUUGUCCCAGAAGCAUGUUGGGAUGUCCUCAUGUUGCAAAAGGAAUAUAAAAUACAAACUCUUACUUUCUGAUCAGAUCUAUGCAGUACAUUCCGCUUGGUGCUUAUUGGCAGUAGCCUCUUAACCAGAGAGAUAGCAAUUCAAAUUGUGUUUAGCAAUGUUUUGAUUGUUAUUACAUGCACGUAACCUAAAUAGUGGAGGAGUGCUUUCUAGCUAAAAAUUGACUGCCUUUUUCAUAUUGCUAAAGAUACUCUGCCCUGAAAUUACUUUAAUAUAUCUCCAAAAAAAAACUAGAAGUUUUAUUUAGCAAACUAAAAGAUGAAAAUAUUUCUAAACUGUGUAUAGUCAAGAAGGUAAACAGAUGGUCGGAUACUUUUAGAUUUAGAAAAGAAAUGAAGCAACCAGCAGCAGCAGGCUCAAAAUUGUUCCAUUGUUUAAUGAAAAUAUACAGCAAAUUCUGUAUCAGCCAAAGGCCUUGAAACUUAGCUUUGAAAUUCUUCAUCAUGGAAACAAUAUCAGAGAUAAUGGAUUGGUGAACAAAUUUAGCACUGAACUGCAGUUCAUUUUGUAAACUUAACAGUUGAGGUAAUUAAAGCUGUGAAUAAAGAUUUGUGCAAUAAAUAUUCCAGCUGUACAGAGAAAUAUUUUGUACUCCACAUUCUGUUCUGCUACAGCUUUUUGAGCCUGGAUGUCUGUUUCUUAGUCCGGAAGUAGAAAGUGCAAUACACUAAUGUUUGGCCAUUCUCCUCUAUUUUUUGCAGAAAUUGUUAAAGAUUUACAACUUCAUUGAGAGCAUCCAAAUCUCCUGAUUAGAAGCACAGAAUUUUCUAUUUCAAAUGCCAGGCCAGAAAUGUGCUAUUUUUAUAUUAAUCUUUUCUUUGAAGUCAUGAAAUAUCCCUAAUGUUCAGUCAAAGCACUGACCAUAUCUGUUGCUGGUUAUGAACAAAUAAGCUCAGGUUUUGCAUUUCUUUUAUACCUAGUAUCAAAAAUCUAAAGGAACAGCAUUUAGAUACUCAACCAAAUCUGAUUAGAUUUUAUUGCUUGCAAAUUUAAUUGAUUUUAUUUUUUUCUAAUGAGCUGUUGAAAUUAUGUCUUAAUUUACCUAUGCUCCCCAAGAAAGAGUCUUACAAAAAGUGCAAAUAAUAGUUCUAUCCAUCUGACUACAAGAAAAAUUCUUACAUAAAAUACAGGUUUUUGUGAAUCUACCAUAAACAUUUAACAUUUAGAGAUAUUUUCUGCAAAUUGAGAAGGGUUGAUUCUUCGCAAUUUAUAUUGUUUUUGUUUAAUUUGGCCCAAAUAACAGAUCUGGUGCCAAGUAAACCUGCUGUAUUAAAAAAAAACCUUUGCAGUCAAGACGGUUAGUAAUUUCACAAUUACUUCAACUCCAUUCCCUAAAAAUCAGGAAUAGUUAUUGUUUUUCUAUUUUAAGCAAUCAGGUAAUUUUUAAAACACACACUUAAUCUAUUUCCAACCUUUUACCCCUAAACCAUUUUGAAAUAUCACUUUCUUCACCAUAAUUAGCUUUCUAUUCUGCUGCUUAAAUAUCUCAGGAAGUCGUACAAUAUUGCUAUCCAAAUGCAGAUUCUGUACGUUAACACAAACAUGUGUCCUUGCUCUUUUUAACAGUCUACAUUAAAAAAAACGAACACUCUCCUUUCUGUAGAUUUGUCACAUGAAUGAAUGCAUAUUACUACUACUGUUCUACUAACAAUGCUUUGAUGAAAAUAUUGUGUCACUGGACCCCAUUCUCUGAUUACAUUAUUUUGAGGUUGGAACUUUAGCAUCUAAAGUAUUAAUUCAACAAAGAACAUGUCAGGUGAAAGUACAAAACUUUUAAUAACAAAUACCCCCGCAAAUGUGUGUACAACAUUUUACAGGGAAAUCAGAAUACAGCCUCAUCCAAAUACCUCCUCAUUAUAUGCAAACAUGCUUCUAUUUUGUCACAGAGUCAGAAACCUGAAAUGAAACCGGUUUCCUCCCACAGUCCAAAGAUGUGCAGGCUAGGUGGAUCGGCCAUGCUAAAUUGUCUGUAGUGUUCAGGGGGGGUGUGGGUUAUAGAGGGAUGGUUCUGGGUGGGGUGCUUCAAGGGGCGGCGUGGACUUGUUGGGCCAAAGGGCCUGUUUCCACAAUGUAGGGAAUCUAAUCUAAUCUAAUCUAAAAUUGGGAAGAUUGUACAGAGGAAAUUUGCUUUGGAAAGUUACUGUCUAGCUGGAAGGUGGAAAUUGCCCUCCCUGGUAUAUGAGAUUGCUACAGUUUUAUAACUACAUCUAAUAUUGUAACAAGUUAAAUAACUAGGAAUAAGUACCUUGGGUUUUUAUUUUAGAAAACAAUGUUUUCCUUGUUAAAUUAUUCCAAGUAUUUUCCUUCCAAUCUUAUGGCUAAUAUAUCAAUGCAACAGUCACAAAAAGGGGAUCCAAAUGGUUGAAACAUUAAAUCACAUUUAGUAAACUAAAUACAGCAUAGGUUUAAGAUUUGCUGUGACCCCUUUUUAUCCAGACAGUCAAUUGCCCAAAAAAGGUGCCAAAUGGAAUUGUAUCCCAGCAAGGAAUCACGUGCCUUAAGGAAAGGUGAGCAAAAUGUAAUUAUUUUGUUUAAUGUCAGUCACACGGUGAUGCCGGUUGUUGGGGAAUAGCACGAGGUGAAUUGCUCAUUCAGCGAGUCAGUGCAGACACAGUGGGCCAAAUGGCCUUAUUUUGUGCCACAACAAUUCUGCAAUUCCAUGUUACAUUGCAGAUUGACUAAUUAUAUUAUUCAUUAUCUGUUUUUACACAAUAGUCUGCAUUUGAGAAUUUUGCAUUUCUGCUUGCAGUGUCAUGUGUUGGCAGGAAUUUUCCAUAUACCAACUAUUUCCAUUCCAUAAAUUGUACUUAAUUUCUAGUCUGCAUUAUGAAGUUCAGCCUGGUAUUCUGAUCAAUAUUAUUUGUGAAUAAUCAGUUCCUUCGUGUGAAAUUUGUGCUACAUAUACAAACUGAUGAGAAUUGUUUAGAUCUCAUUAACUUUGAAAUUUAAACAGAAAACGGGGAAAAUACUCAGCAAGUCAGCAAUAUCUGUGGAUAAGUAGAGAUUCUCUCUCCAUAAAUGCUACUUAACCUGAAAAAGUUCCGUGAUGAUCACAGAAGAGAGAAAUUGUUAAACUGGACCAGAGUUCUCUUGUGUUCAGGACUAUGUUUUCUACACUCUUGAUCCUGCCAACGUGAAAUGAUUCAACAAUUCAGUUUAACACUGAAAGCAAUGAAUUGUUCUUUUACUUGCAUUUAUAUAGCAAUUUUAAUAUAAAGCAUCCCAGGGUGUAUUAAAUGAAAUUUGAGAUUGUGGUAUGUAAGGCAAUGUUUAAAAAGUUUGGUCACAAAGAGUUAUUCAACAUCUUGAAGCAAAUGUAGAGUCAGACAUUUACAUGGAUGAAAUUUCUGAAUUUAGGGCCUGAAGUAGUAACAGCACUGCUGGUAAUAAGUUGAUUAAAAUCAGGAAUAUUCAAGAGAUCAGGAUCUCCAGAGGAUUGAAGGAAUGGCAGAGAUUAAUACAGAAAUAGAUAAUAAUUAAAGCAAAAGCAGAGGAUAGUAUAGAAGGAUUUGAAAUCAAGAAUAACAAUUUCAUUUUGGAGACUAGGAACCAAUAAAGAACAAAGAGUAUGGUGAGACGGGGGUGGUGGGGGGUUGCUGGUGUAUUGAAACUUGAAUCAAGUUAGAACAGAGGCAGCGGAGAUUUGAAAUGACCUCAGAUUUGCACAGGGUACAGGCGCUGGUCUGAAGUAUGGAAGAUAGUCAAGUCAGGAGCUAACAAAGGCAUGAAUGACUGUUCUAGCAUCAGUAAAGCUGAGAUGAAGGAGGGGUUGGACGAUGCUAGUUCACAUGUAGUAAGGAACUCCAUAAGAAGUUGAAGGUAGCUCAAUGACAUAGAAGACUAAAGAUUAUUGAUCAACACUUUUUUUACAAAAAUGCAGCCAUGUCUUUAGUAUAGAACCUGUCAAAACUAUAUAGUCCCACACAACAUAACAUGCUCCACCCCACAAUUUCCUCCUUUCCAAUAUUUCAACUUUCUUCCAGAUGGUCAGAACUUCUUUUGAUAAUUUGAAGAGCUGCAAUUCCCAGUCUCAACAUGCAGAUGGUUCAAUUAUCCACCAUCAACAAUAUUAAAUAGGAGCCAAGAUUGAAAAUGGCAAGCAAAUAAGCUCCAAGAACCUAGGGUAUUGGAGAGAAAGCAGUGGUUAUGCAAACAGGGAGGGGAGGACGAAUUGCCAAUGUGAAUAAGGCUAAACAAGGUAAUGGAAGACUUGCAACCAAAGCUGAGAAGGAUGGGAGAGAUUAUUUUCCACACCAUUAUGCAUUCUAGUUUAGCAAUCAAGAACCGAUAUUGAUCAACCAGCAGCAAUUUCAAGAAAUUAUGAAAAACCUCAGUUUGUCCAAUUGUCAUAGUAAGAGAAUUUCAUUUAUGAUUGUUUUGUACAUCCCUUAGGCUAAAGGGGUUCUUAAUAAUGGCAUUGUCUGAAGUUGCAUUUAUAAUCUCGGAUGGAACAAAAAUGAACCCUUUUUUCUUUUCCUACAGAUAAAACCAUUUAAAAUUUGACAGUAACUAAGCAGUCUCAAGAGAUAAAUCAUCUGAGAUGCAAAUUUCACACUAUUGCAAAAAUGGGUGCCAAAGUUGAGGGAGCCUGUUUUGUGCUGGCAAUAUAUGUAUAGUUUAAACAUUGUUCAGAGAUAGCAAGAACUGCAGGUGCUGGAGUCAAAGUAACAAGGUGUGGAGAUGGAGGAAUACAGCAGGCCAGGCAACAUCAGAGGAGCAGGAAAGUUGAUAUUUUGGAUGGGACCCUUCUUCAGAAAUGGGCAUUUCUGAAGAAGGGUCCUGACUCAGAAAAUCAACUUUCCUGCUCCUUUGAUGCUGCCUGGCCUGCUAUGUUCCUCCAGUUCCACACUGUAAUAUCUGUGAGAGACACUUGGUCUGUUUUGCAUCCUGUGUUGGCAUUGGCCAAUUACUACUGUAUUUAAAAUUCUUUACUACUGUUCAAAGAUAUAACUAUUAUGUCAAAGACUUUUGUACUGUACUUGUGAUCUGUAAAUUUCUGACACUCUCUUAUAUGGAUGUGGGGAUUCUAAUUUACCACUGUAGUCUUUGAAACAAAUUGUAGAAAAUACUAUAUAAAAUUGGUCAUCAGUGUUUCUGAAGUUAUUGAAAUGGGUAAGAAUGUCUUUUUAAUAGUGUGUUAUUGGAAAA